AUUGAACGCUGGCGGCAGGCCUAACACAUGCAAGUCGAACGAGUGGCGGACGGGUGAGGAAUACAUCGGAAACUACUCGGUCGUGGGGGAUAACGUAGGGAAACUGACGCUAAUACCGCAUACGAUCGAAUGAGCCGAUUUCGGAUUAGCUAGUUGGGGGGGUAAAGGCUCACCAAGGCGACGAUCCUUAGCUGGUCUGAGAGGAUGAUCGGCCACACUGGAACUGAGACACGGUCCAGACUCCUACGGGAGGCAGCAGUGGGGAAUAUUGGACAAUGGGCGCAAGCCUGAUCCAGCCAUGCCGCGUGGAUGAAGAAGGCCUUCGGGUUGUAAAGCCCUUUGGGUGGGAAAGCGUUACCCAAAGAAUAAGCACCGGCUAACUUCGUGCCAGCAGCCGCGGUAAUUC
This 406-nucleotide ribosomal RNA is filed under the name uncultured bacterium. Its description in RNAcentral is "partial 16S ribosomal RNA". It matches the Rfam family "Bacterial small subunit ribosomal RNA", at positions 30 to 526 of the family's 1533-position model. The record is from RNAcentral.